RNAcentral lists this ribosomal RNA (332 nucleotides) under uncultured eukaryote. RNAcentral describes it as "partial 18S ribosomal RNA". It matches the Rfam family "Eukaryotic small subunit ribosomal RNA", at positions 1470 to 1796 of the family's 1831-position model. The record is from RNAcentral.
CCCUUAGAUGUUCUGGGCUGCACACGUGCUACACUGGCAGGUUCAGCGAGCUUCAUGCCCUGAUCUGAAAGGAAUGGGCAAUCUUUUCAAAACCUGCCGUGCUUGGGAUAGAUGUUUGCAAUUAUUCAUCUUCAACGAGGAUUGCCUUGUAAGCGCACGUCAUCAGCGUGCAUUGAAUACGACCCUGUAUUCUGUACACACCGCCCGUCGCUCCUACCGAUUGAAGUUUUCGGUGAGUUGACAGGAGGAUUUUUUUGAAACUGGUUCGCCAGUGGAUUUUAGAUCCAAAUGCCAACGAAUCGAUGGCUUUAGAGGAAGGAGAAGUCGUAACA